Molecule: ribosomal RNA, 706 nt
Filed under: uncultured bacterium
Lineage: Bacteria
Description: bacterial SSU rRNA
Rfam family: Bacterial small subunit ribosomal RNA
Source: RNAcentral
AGCGGCGGACGGGUGAGUAACACGUGGGUAACCUGCCUCAUACAGGGGGAUAACAGUUAGAAAUGACUGCUAAUACCGCAUAAGACCACAGGGCCGCAUGGCCCGGUGGUAAAAACUCCGGUGGUAUGAGAUGGACCCGCGUCUGAUUAGCUGGUUGGUGGGGUAACGGCCUACCAAGGCAACGAUCAGUAGCCGACCUGAGAGGGUGACCGGCCACAUUGGGACUGAGACACGGCCCAAACUCCUACGGGAGGCAGCAGUGGGGAAUAUUGCACAAUGGGCGAAAGCCUGAUGCAGCGACGCCGCGUGAAGGAUGAAGUAUUUCGGUAUGUAAACUUCUAUCAGCAGGGAAGAAAAUGACGGUACCUGACUAAGAAGCCCCGGCUAACUACGUGCCAGCAGCCGCGGUAAUACGUAGGGGGCAAGCGUUAUCCGGAUUUACUGGGUGUAAAGGGAGCGUAGACGGCGAUGCAAGCCAGAUGUGAAAGCCCGGGGCUCAACCCCGGGACUGCAUUUGGAACUGUGUGGCUGGAGUGUCGGAGAGGCAAGUGGAAUUCCUAGUGUAGCGGUGAAAUGCGUAGAUAUUAGGAGGAACACCAGUGGCGAAGGCGGCUUGCUGGACGAUGACUGACGUUGAGGCUCGAAAGCGUGGGGAGCAAACAGGAUUAGAUACCCUGGUAGUCCACGCCGUAAACGAUGACUACUA